AUUGAACGCUGGCGGCAGGCCUAACACAUGCAAGUCGAACGGUAGCACAGAGAGCUUGCUCUCGGGUGACGAGUGGCGGACGGGUGAGUAACGUCUGGGAAACUGCCCGAUGGAGGGGGAUAACUACUGGAAACGGUAGCUAAUACCGCAUAACGUCGCAAGACCAAAGUGGGGGACCUUCGGGCCUCACACCAUCGGAUGUGCCCAGAUGGGAUUAGCUAGUAGGUGGGGUAAUGGCUCACCUAGGCGACGAUCCCUAGCUGGUCUGAGAGGAUGACCAGCCAACCUGGAACUGAGACACGGUCCAGACUCCUACGGGAGGCAGCAGUGGGGAAUAUUGUACAAUGGGCGCAAGCCUGAUGCAGCCAUGCCGCGUGUAUGAAGAAGGCCUUCGGGCUGUAAAGUACUUUCAGCGGGGAGGAAGGCGGUGCGGUUAAUAACCGCGCCGAUUGACGUUACCCGCAGAAGAAGCACCAGCUAACUCCGUGCCAGCCGCCGCCGUAA
This 504-nucleotide ribosomal RNA is filed under the name uncultured bacterium. Its description in RNAcentral is "partial 16S ribosomal RNA". It matches the Rfam family "Bacterial small subunit ribosomal RNA", at positions 29 to 523 of the family's 1533-position model. The record is from RNAcentral.